GUUUGUGUAUUUCAUUCACAGUACAUGCCGGGCGCCCCUCCGUGGUAGGUAAGGGUGGGCCCGGCCGGCUGGCUCCAGGCUGCUCCGAGCUGAGCCCUGCGGCUCCCCGCCUCUCAGCGCUGAAUUAAGCUCAUUUAGAGAAGCCUUUGGAAAAUGGAGAUACAAGAAGAAAAACAAAAUGUUCCUAAAUUCUGCCACUCAGCAUUAACCACAUUUAGCAUAAACAUCUAGACUGAUGUUGGACCCAACAACUGAGGACCAUGGUCGAGCCAAGUGACUACAUAACAUUGACCAUCACAGGAGACACAAUCACAUGCAAUAAACAGCUCAUAUUUAAAGUGGGCAAUUUUAUAAGUUUCAACAUGUAUGCCUGUGGAAAUAAAGAAAGAACAUAUCCAUGCCUGUCACCCCCAACCGAUUCCGUAGGCCUUUUGUAACCCCUCCACCCCACACCACUCGGCUCGCCCCAUCGCCCGGCAGCUUGUGGCUUCUAUCAUCACACAUUAGUUUGCAUUUGCUAGACAUCUGCAAACAUGGACUCAUGCACCGUUUCCUCCUUCAUGUCUGGUCUGUUUCAGUAAAAUUCUUUUGCGAUGCUUCCAUGUCACUGUAUGUAUCAAUAGACAGUCAGCCCCUUUUUACUUCUGGGAGGUGCUCCAUUGCAUGGGGACAGCAGUUCUUCACGAAGUCGCCCCUGGGUGGACAUUUGGGUUGUUUACAGUCUUGACUAUUACAAAUAAAGCUGCUAUGAACAUUCAUGCAUAAGCUUUUGUAUGAGCACAUGUUUCCAUUUAUGGGAAAUAUCACAGAGUAGAAUGCCUGGAUGGUGCCAUUUUUUAUGACGUGGAGUACCUCUUUCCCACGUGACUGUACUGUUUGCACCCGAGAGCUAUGCCUGCUCCGCGAACUGACCCUGUCUGGGGGUGGUGCCUUUGUAAUUAUCAGCAUCCUAAUGGGUGUGAGCAGCUCCCUCCUGUGAUCCUAACUUGCGUUUCCCGAAUGACUAGUGAUGUUAAGAAUCUUUCCAUAUGCUUAUUUGUAUAUGUGCAAAUAAAUACUUCUAUGAUAAA
Long non-coding RNA from Hipposideros armiger (great roundleaf bat), 1070 nucleotides. RefSeq lists it as uncharacterized. The transcript is spliced from 2 exons. The record is from RefSeq and is a predicted model, not a curated record. Lineage: Eukaryota; Metazoa; Chordata; Mammalia; Chiroptera; Hipposideridae.